UCUAAGUUAUAAUCAAAUCAACACUUCUCUAGCAAGUUUAGGUUUAGUAAAUUUGACCAAUUUGAAAAGAUUGGAUUUAAGUUAUAAUCAAAUCGCAAAUGCUAGAGGUUUAAAAAAUUUGGAAAACUUGGAAGAGUUGUAUAUGGGACAUAAUGCAAUGGGCGGUGACUCUCUUACUUUAGGU
Long non-coding RNA from Pistacia vera, 184 nucleotides. RefSeq lists it as uncharacterized. The record is from RefSeq and is a predicted model, not a curated record. The transcript is spliced from 3 exons. NCBI's taxonomy places the organism in Eukaryota, Viridiplantae, Streptophyta, Magnoliopsida, Sapindales, Anacardiaceae.